GAUUUCAAUAACGUCGUCUUCUCAUGUAUUUAAAGACGUCAUAUUUUUUCUUGUCGUGAAAAUUACAUUUAACGGCGUAGUGUUUUAGUUGUCGUCGUUGUAUGUCUAUCUUGCGGCCUUGUUCUUUUAAUAUGUGUCAUAUUUUUCCUUUUUAACGACGGUGAUUUGUUUGAGUUGGUCGUCUAUUCUCAUCCUCGACUAUUUUUUAGAACUUUAGCAGACUAAACACGUCUGUUUUUUUUUGUUUUCUACGUUGUUUUAUUU
This 264-nucleotide long non-coding RNA is filed under the name Prunus persica (peach). RNAcentral's name for it is "long non-coding RNA (PPER_LNC004428)". Lineage: Eukaryota; Viridiplantae; Streptophyta; Magnoliopsida; Rosales; Rosaceae. The record is from RNAcentral.